GGUGAACGCUGGCGGCGUGCCUAAGACAUGCAAGUCGAGCGGGGCAGGUUUAUACCUGUUCAGCGGCGGACGGGUGAGUAACGCGUGGGUGACCUACCCGGAAGAGGCGGACAACCUGGGGAAACCCAGGCUAAUCCGCCAUGUGGUCCUGUCCUGUGGGGCAGGACUAAAGGGGCGACCCGCUUCCGGAUGGGCCCGCGUCCCAUCAGCUAGUUGGUGGGGUAAAGGCCCACCAAGGCGACGACGGGUAGCCGGUCUGAGAGGAUGGCCGGCCACAGGGGCACUGAGACACGGGCCCCACUCCUACGGGAGGCAGGAGUUAGGAAUCUGCCGCAAUGGACGGAAGUCUGACGGAGCGACGCCGCUUGGAGGAGGAAGCCCUUCGGGGUGUAAACUCCUGAACUGGGGACGAAAGCCCCGUGUAGGGGGAUGACGGUACCCAGGUAAUAGCGCCGGCCAACUCCGUG
Molecule: ribosomal RNA, 467 nt
Filed under: uncultured bacterium
Lineage: Bacteria
Description: partial 16S ribosomal RNA
Rfam family: Bacterial small subunit ribosomal RNA
Source: RNAcentral